RNAcentral lists this ribosomal RNA (253 nucleotides) under uncultured bacterium. RNAcentral's name for it is "partial 16S ribosomal RNA". It matches the Rfam family "Bacterial small subunit ribosomal RNA", at positions 524 to 776 of the family's 1533-position model. The record is from RNAcentral.
UACAGAGGUCCCAAGCGUUGUUCGGAUUCACUGGGCGUAAAGGGUGCGUAGGUGGUGAGGUAAGUCGGAUGUGAAAGCUCGGAGCUCAACUCCGAAAUGGCAUUGGAAACUACCUUGCUCGAGGGUUGGAGGGGGGACUGGAAUACUUGGUGUAGCAGUGAAAUGCGUAGAUAUCAAGUGGAACACCAUUGGCGAAGGCGAGUCCCUGGACAACUCCUGACACUGAGGCACGAAAGCUAGGGGAGCAAACAGG